RNAcentral lists this ribosomal RNA (479 nucleotides) under uncultured bacterium. RNAcentral describes it as "partial 16S ribosomal RNA". It matches the Rfam family "Bacterial small subunit ribosomal RNA", at positions 28 to 507 of the family's 1533-position model. The record is from RNAcentral.
GAUGAACGCUAGCGGGAGGCCUAACACAUGCAAGCCGAGCGGUAUUUGUUCUUCGGAACAGAGAGAGCGGCGCACGGGUGCGGAACACGUGUGCAACCUGCCUUUAUCUGGGGGAUAGCCUUUCGAAAGGAAGAUUAAUACCCCAUAAUAUAUUGAGUGGCAUCAUUUGAUAUUGAAAACUCCGGUGGAUAGAGAUGGGCACGCGCAAGAUUAGAUAGUUGGUGAGGUAACGGCUCACCAAGUCAAUGAUCUUUAGGGGGCCUGAGAGGGUGACCCCCCACACUGGUACUGAGACACGGACCAGACUCCUACGGGAGGCAGCAGUGAGGAAUAUUGGACAAUGGGUUAGCGCCUGAUCCAGCCAUCCCGCGUGAAGGACGACGGCCCUAUGGGUUGUAAACUUCUUUUGUAUAGGGAUAAACCUACUCUCGUGAGAGUAGCUGAAGGUACUAUACGAAUAAGCACCGGCUAACUCCGUG